This 252-nucleotide ribosomal RNA is filed under the name uncultured bacterium. Its description in RNAcentral is "partial 16S ribosomal RNA". It matches the Rfam family "Bacterial small subunit ribosomal RNA", at positions 524 to 776 of the family's 1533-position model. The record is from RNAcentral.
UACGAAGGGGCGAGCGUUGUUCGGAUUUACUGGGCGUAAAGGGCGCGCAGGCGGCUAUCCAAGUCAGGCGUGAAAGCCCCGGGCUUAACCUGGGAGGUGCGUCUGGGACUGGGUGGCUAGAGUUCGGGAGAGGAGAGUGGAAUUCCCAGUGUAGAGGUGAAAUUCGUAGAUAUUGGGAAGAACACCGGUGGCGAAGGCGGCUCUCUGGACCGAGACUGACGCUGAGGCGCGAAAGCGUGGGGAGCAAACAGG